This 346-nucleotide ribosomal RNA is filed under the name Tylochromis sp. J46. RNAcentral describes it as "partial 12S ribosomal RNA". It matches the Rfam family "Bacterial small subunit ribosomal RNA", at positions 801 to 1356 of the family's 1533-position model. Lineage: Eukaryota; Metazoa; Chordata; Actinopteri; Cichliformes; Cichlidae. The record is from RNAcentral.
CUUGAUAGCCCCUUACACCCGCUAUCCGCCAGGGUACUACGAGCACUAGCUUAAAACCCAAAGGACUUGGCGGUGCUUUAGAUCCACCUAGAGGAGCCUGUUCUAGAACCGAUAACCCCCGUUAAACCUCACCCUCCCUUGCUCUUCCCGCCUAUAUACCGCCGUCGUCAGCUUACCCUGUGAGGGUAUAAUAGUAAGCAAAACCAGUAUAACUUAAAACGUCAGGUCGAGGUGUAGCAUAUGAGAGGGGAAGAAAUGGGCUACAUUCCCUAAAGCAGGGAAUACGGAUAAUAUAAUGAAACAUGUAUUAUAAAGGAGGAUUUAGUAGUAAGCAGAAAAUAGAGUG